This 72-nucleotide transfer RNA is filed under the name Ailuropoda melanoleuca (giant panda). It matches the Rfam family "tRNA". From Rfam's summary of the family: Transfer RNA (tRNA) molecules are approximately 80 nucleotides in length. Their secondary structure includes four short double-helical elements and three loops (D, anti-codon, and T loops). The record is from Rfam by way of RNAcentral. Lineage: Eukaryota; Metazoa; Chordata; Mammalia; Carnivora; Ursidae.
GCCUGGCUGGCUCAGUAGGUAGAGUAUGCGACUCUUGAUCUCAGUGUUGUGAGUUCAAGCCCGUGUUGGGCA